ACUACCAGUUCUAAUAGGCAAUAUAGGAAGGGCACACUCACUAAACUUCCUCCGUCCCUUCUAUUCUCAGCGCCCGCCUGGCAGGACGACUGAGCAAGGCUUUGGAAAACCAGAGAGAUUAGAGCGCAGAAUGGGGAAAUGGAGAGAGAACCUGAAAGAGCCCCAAACUCGAGGACCUAUUGCUCCCCAAGAAUAACAUCUUCCAGAACUAGACAGAAACUAAGCGUCUGGAAACCCUGAAAUCCUUGGAGGAGUAGCAUCAUCCUGACCCUCUGUGCUCCUUUUGGCAAAGGACUUGCUUCCAUUGUUUGUUUGUUCAAUUGUCUGUUUGUUAAAUAAAUAAAACUCUUUUCAUAUAUCUUUAAAAGUACGUUGGUUCUAUUAUUUUAUGAUUACAAACAAUGCUGCAGUCAUCAUUCUUCUACACUUGUCAUUGGCCACUGGUAUAUUUCCAUAGGGUGGAGGCCUGGAGAGCAGUUGUUCCAGCAUAGUGCUUACAUAGAUUUUAUUUCAUUCCGUUUUCUUUCCUUUGUUGCUUUAUUAGCUAUAACCCUUUUCUUAUUUCAGUGGCUGCUUUAGGGUUUCUGGGAUAUGUCUUUAAUUUAUCACAGUCUGCUUUCAGGUGUCAUUAUGUCUCCCUUUCUGGCCUUUAUCCUAGUGUUAUGUAAUUUUACUUUAUACAUUAUAAUCCUUGUGAUUCAUUAUUAUUACUUUUAUUUAUUACACCAAAUAUUUUUUAAAAGAUUUAAAUUCUAAGAAAAUGUGUAGUACAUGCUUUCUAAAUGCCAUUUCCAGUAUUCGUUUCUUUGUAUAGGCCCACAUUUUUAUCUGGUAUCCUUUUGCCUCUGCCUGGAGGACUUUUAAUAAGAUUUCUUGUAACGUGGGUUGGUGAAUUGUUUUAGCUUUUGUAUGUUUUUCGAUGUCCUUAUUUCACUCACAGUUUUGAAAUUUUAUUUUUGCAUAGAAUUCCAGGUUAACUUUUUUUCUCUGGGUACUUUAAAAAUGUUACCAUUUAUGAAGCAUUGCCAUUAUAAUAUCAUCUUUCUUUCCUGUGUUUGUAAGAAUGGCAUAAAGCCGGUUUCUUGCGGUGGUUAUAUAAUUUUCAGAAUGUGUACUUAAAUUUAAAAUAUUAAAUUUUACUAAAAAACUAAAAAUAUUAAUCAUGAACAUCCUAGAUUCAUCUUAAAUUCCACCAACAGUGCACUUAAAAUGUGCCCAACCUGAGGGUCAAACCUACCUGCUGACGUGUAAUUUGUGUUUGUGAGACAUUCUCAACAGCAUUUGCUUUCCCUAGCUGAGUGAUUUUCCUCACAUCUGAAUGUCUUCAGUACAAAAGGAAACCUUUGUCUUUGCAAAAAUACUUUCAAAUAUUCUUACUUCAAGUAAGUGCAUUAAAAACAAACUUCUCAGUUGCAUCCCUGGAAUCCGUGGAAAGCCCGGGAGAGACAGUCAAGUGGUUCAGGAUCAAGAGCUAAACAAGGGAAGACAAAGCGUGGCUUCUUCACUAGGAGUCCAGCCAAAGUCAACUGAUUUGGUCUCCAGUGGAGGUCGGAACUCGGUUCACCAGCGACGUGAGGACCCGGCCCAGAGGAGGCGGACUUUCUCUUCCUGGUGCCUUCAGAUAGGAAAUCUAGAAUUUCUUUCUUUCCCUUUGAUCUACUUCUAACUCUCCCGUUCUAUUUCUUCAAGACCUUUUUCGGAUCCCUACUGCGAAGGACCUAAGGGGCCGAUGCCCUUCCCUAACGGUCCCUCCCUGGCUGAGUGUCUUCGGAGCCCAAGCUCACCUGUAAGGUUACUGCCCUCCGGAGACAGCGAGAGGACCAAGGAGGGCGGCGGGUGCGGUGGGAACCACAGAGUCACCGCGCACCUGCGCCUCGCGGGCUCCUAGCAAAUUGAAUAAAUGAUCCCUGAAGCUUCUCUGCAGGUCACAGGGAAGGGGAGGGUAGGGGUCGACCCGCGGAAGAAGCUUCAAGAAGCAUCGGGAGGACCUGGCCCUGCCUCUGGGCCUUGAAAACAGGCCUGGCCAGGCUGAUUUUGUCGCGUAGGCCCAAAGAAAAGUGUCAAGGGCGGCCCAAACCCUGACCUCGAGAUUAAGGCUCUUAAAUGUCUGACGGUUUUGAGACUCGUCUGUAGAAUCGAUCCCGCCUGUAUCCGGAGACCGGAGACUCCUUUGCCAAAAUUCAGAGACCAAGAAAGAGAAAGAUUGGGCAGAUCAAAGUCUGUAAUUAACCCAAACAGGAAACGUAAUUUUUCUGACAAAUUGUAUGUGUGCUCUGAGAAAAAGACUAGCCUCAAGGAGAAUCUGUUUUUUUGGCUUGAGUGUAGGGAAGAAUGGAAUUGCCACCAACAAUGUUGCGUUGAAACGGCAGGUGCAUCAGGCUGUAGAUGUGAAGGAAUUAAAAAUAUUUCACCCCAAAAUACAUUUCUUUGACACAUUUUGAGAUGUCUGUUCAGAAAGCCAGCUGCAGAAGUAGCCCUGCAAAGUUGUAUUUUGUUGGGGAGAUUUGCAUCUGUAGGGAAUCUGCAUUGAUGCAGCCAAGUCUUUCUUUGCCCAGAUCUAGGAAAGAUUAACUGAGAGUCUGACAGCUGUAAAGGUCUCAAAGAAACUUUUAGGGUUUACUGUCUCUGAGAGCUGCUACCUGUAAGGUUUCAUUUACAUAUUAAGACCACCUUUGCUAGCUAAGCCUCCUCUUCUCUCCCUCCUAUAACCUGUCUUGCCCACAAUAAAUGGAUAUACAUCUGA
Molecule: long non-coding RNA, 2743 nt
Organism: Homo sapiens (human)
Lineage: Eukaryota; Metazoa; Chordata; Mammalia; Primates; Hominidae
Source: Ensembl